CCUACGGGGAGCAGCAGUGAGGAAUAUUGGUCAAUGGACGAGAGCCUGAACCAGCCAAGUAGCGUGAAGGAUGACUGCCCUAUGGGUUGUAAACUUCUUUUAUAUGGGAAUAAAGCGCGGUAUGUGUCCCCUCUUGUAUGUCCCAUAUGAAUAAGGCUCGGCUACCUCCGUGCCAGCAGCCGCGGUAAUACGGAGGAUCCGAGCGUUAUCCGGAUUUAUUGGGUUUAAAGGGAGCGUAGAUGGAUUGUUAAGUCAGUUGUGAAAGUUUGCGGCUCAACCGUAAGAUUGCAGUUGAAACUGGCAGUCUUGAGUACAGGAGAGGUAGGCGGAAUUCGUGGUGUAGCGGUGAAAUGCUUAGAUAUCACGAAGAACUCCGAUUGCGAAGGCAGCUUACUGGACUGCAACUGACAUUGAUGCUCGAAAGUGUGGGUAUCAAACAGGAUUAGAUACCCGGGUAGUC
RNAcentral lists this ribosomal RNA (460 nucleotides) under uncultured bacterium. Its description in RNAcentral is "partial 16S ribosomal RNA". It matches the Rfam family "Bacterial small subunit ribosomal RNA", at positions 338 to 795 of the family's 1533-position model. The record is from RNAcentral.